UGGGGAAUUUUGGACAAUGGGCGAAAGCCUGAUCCAGCAAUGCCGCGUGUGUGAAGAAGGCCUUCGGGUUGUAAAGCACUUUUGUCCGGAAAGAAAUCCUUGGCUCUAAUACAGUCGGGGGAUGACGGUACCGGAAGAAUAAGCACCGGCUAACUACGUGCCAGCAGCCGCGGUAAUACGUAGGGUGCAAGCGUUAAUCGGAAUUACUGGGCGUAAAGCGUGCGCAGGCGGUUUGCUAAGACCGAUGUGAAAUCCCCGGGCUCAACCUGGGAACUGCAUUGGUGACUGGCAGGCUAGAGUAUGGCAGAGGGGGGUAGAAUUCCACGUGUAGCAGUGAAAUGCGUAGAGAUGUGGAGGAAUACCGAUGGCGAAGGCAGCCCCCUGGGCCAAUACUGACGCUCAUGCACGAAAAGCGUGGGGGAGCAAAACAGGAUUAGAUACCCUGGUAGUCCACGCCCUAAAACGAUGUCAACUAGUUGUUGGGGAUUCAUUUCCUUAGUAACGUAGCUAACGCGUGAAGUUGACCGCCUGGGGGAGUACGGUCGCAAGAUUAAAACUCAAAUGAAUUGACGGGGUCAUAGCUGUUUCCU
Molecule: ribosomal RNA, 590 nt
Filed under: uncultured bacterium
Lineage: Bacteria
Description: partial 16S ribosomal RNA
Rfam family: Bacterial small subunit ribosomal RNA
Source: RNAcentral